AUUUUUCUCUAGCAAAAAUUUGAGAUAAUUUCUUCAAAAUAUAAAUAAAAUUUCGAUAGUUAGUGCGUAAACUUUUUCUGUCAACCAAACGCGUUCAGUUAAAAGUUAUAUUAAAAAAAUUCAUAUACAUAUAUCAAACAUAUAAAGAUGAUAAAGUAGAUGCUGGAGAGAGACUUUCUUGCAUUGGUUGAAUAUCUUUGAGGGAAGAAACGGCGUCGUUUAGUUGCAUCUCUUUUUCGAGGUGAAAGCAAUAGCUCUCGAAAACUCUAAAACUCACAGUAACUCUAAAGUCAAGAAGAAAGAGAAGCUCCAACUCCAUUUUGUUCAAGUCUGCAUUGCUUACGCCUCCAACCCGAGCAUAGAACUCGUUGUUGUAGUGCCUGUGAAUAUGAAAUUUGUUAGAAAAAACGAAAACCUCUCUUAUCUCAUCCAAUACAUGUUGAAACCUUGAAAUCAAUAACUUAAAAGGGGCACUUAACAUACAUAUAGGUACAAAGUUUGUCCUCAUUUUAUAUUGGUUAGA
Molecule: small RNA, 523 nt
Filed under: Arabidopsis thaliana (thale cress)
Lineage: Eukaryota; Viridiplantae; Streptophyta; Magnoliopsida; Brassicales; Brassicaceae
Description: ATSL144090
Source: RNAcentral